UAAGCCGUUGAAGGUGUGUCGUGAGGCAUGCUGGAGGUAUCAGAAGUGCGAAUGCUGACAUAAGUAACGAUAAAGCGGGUGAAAAGCCCGCUCGCCGGAAGACCAAGGGUUCCUGUCCAACGUUAAUCGGGGCAGGGUGAGUCGACCCCUAAGGCGAGGCCGAAAGGCGUAGUCGAUGGGAAACGGGUUAAUAUUCCCGUACUUGGUGUUACUGCGAAGGGGGGACGGAGAAGGCUAUGUUGGCCGGGCGACGGUUGUCCCGGUUUAAGCGUGCAGGUGUGUGUUCCAGGUAAAUCCGGUUCACUUUAACACUGAGGCGUGACGACGAGGCACCACGGUGCUGAAGCAACAAAUGCCCUGCUUCCAGGAAAAGCCUCUAAGCCUCAGGUAACAUCAAAUCGUACCCCAAACCGACACAGGUGGUCAGGUAGAGAAUACCAAGGCGCUUGAGAGAACUCGGGUGAAGGAACUAGGCAAAAUGGUGCCGUAACUUCGGGAGAAGGCACGCUGACACGUAGGUGAAGUGGUUUACCCAUGGAGCUGAAGUCAGUCGAAGAUACCAGCUGGCUGCAACUGUUUAUUAAAAACACAGCACUGUGCAAACACGAAAGUGGACGUAUACGGUGUGACGCCUGCCCGGUGCCGGAAGGUUAAUUGAUGGGGUCAGCGCAAGCGAAGCUCCUGAUCGAAGCCCCGGUAAACGGCGGCCGUAACUAUAACGGUCCUAAGGUAGCGAAAUUCCUUGUCGGGUAAGUUCCGACCUGCACGAAUGGCGUAAUGAUGGCCAGGCUGUCUCCACCCGGGACUCAGUGAAAUUGAACUCGCUGUGAAGAUGCAGUGUACCCGCGGCAAGACGGAAAGACCCCGUGAACCUUUACUAUAGCUUGACACUGAACACUGGUCCUUGAUGUGCAGGAUAGGUGGGAGGCUUUGAAGUGUGGACGCCAGUCUGCACGGAGCCAUCCUUGAAAUACCACCCUUUAAUGGCUGGUGUUCUAACGUGGGCCCGUGAACCGGGUUGCGGACAGUGUCUGGUGGGUAGUUUGACUGGGGCGGUCUCCUCCUAAAGAGUAACGGAGGAGCACGAAGGUUGGCUAAUCCUGGUCGGACAUCAGGAGGUUAGUGCAAUGGCAUAAGCCAGCUUGACUGCGAGCGUGACGGCGCGAGCAGGUGCGAAAGCAGGUCAUAGUGAUCCGGUGGUUCUGAAUGGAAGGGCCAUCGCUCAACGGAUAAAAGGUACUCCGGGGAUAACAGGCUGAUACCGCCCAAGAGUUCAUAUCGACGGCGGUGUUUGGCACCUCGAUGUCGGCUCAUCACAUCCUGGGGCUGAAGUAGGUCCCAAGGGUAUGGCUGUUCGCCAUUUAAAGUGGUACGCGAGCUGGGUUUAGAACGUCGUGAGACAGUUCGGUCCCUAUCUGCCGUGGGCGCUGGAAGAUUGAGGGGGGCUGCUCCUAGUACGAGAGGACCGGAGUGGACGCAUCACUGGUGUUCGGGUUGUCAUGCCAAUGGCACUGCCCGGUAGCUACAUGCGGAAGAGAUAAGUGCUGAAAGCAUCUAAGCACGAAACUUGCCCCGAGAUGAAUCUUCCCUGAGCCUUUAAGGCUCCUGAAGGAACGUUGAAGACGACGACGUUGAUAGGCCGGGUGUGUAAGCGCAGCGAUGCGUUGAGCUAACCGGUACUAAUGAACCGUGAGGCUUAACCUUACAACGCCGAAG
RNAcentral lists this ribosomal RNA (1716 nucleotides) under Salmonella enterica subsp. houtenae. RNAcentral describes it as "partial 23S ribosomal RNA". It matches the Rfam family "Bacterial large subunit ribosomal RNA", at positions 1243 to 2925 of the family's 2925-position model. Lineage: Bacteria; Pseudomonadati; Pseudomonadota; Gammaproteobacteria; Enterobacterales; Enterobacteriaceae. The record is from RNAcentral.